CUACAAGGAUGCCAUGCCUUAGUUUUGGAGGAGAAGAAUUAAUGGUGAGAAGUCCCACUUUGGGAAGAGCACUUUUUCGGCUAAUUACUUAGAAUAUAGGUAGAAAAAAAAAAGUCAGACACUUAUUGGUCAGACACAUGCUGGGUAUAAAUCUAUUGUUGCCGGGCUGACACAGCCCGGCACCUGACACCAAAUUUUUUUUAAAAAAAAAAGAUGUCAGGUGCCGGGCUGACAUAGCCCGUCACCUGACCGAAUUUUUUUUAAAAAACAUGGCAGGUGCCGGGCCCAAAUUUUUGAGCUUUUUAAAAAAGCUGGCAGAGCUACAGAAUUCCUGCCUGAGUCAGAUCUUGUGACAACUAUUAUGGAAUUUUUUUUUUUUUGCUAAUUAGAAAAAAACUAGGAUCUGGCGAAGUAAUGGAGAAAUGUUCU
This 429-nucleotide long non-coding RNA is filed under the name Coffea arabica (coffee). Its description in RNAcentral is "long non-coding RNA (CARA_LNC001902)". The record is from RNAcentral. Lineage: Eukaryota; Viridiplantae; Streptophyta; Magnoliopsida; Gentianales; Rubiaceae.